Non-coding RNA from Camellia sinensis, 564 nucleotides. The record is from RefSeq and is a predicted model, not a curated record. Lineage: Eukaryota; Viridiplantae; Streptophyta; Magnoliopsida; Ericales; Theaceae.
CUGAAUUUAGCCUGACUAGUUUUACCAAAAUUGCAGGCCUUGCUUGGAGUUCCCGAGAGCCAUGGAUUUUUGCAUCAUUAUCCUAUGAUGGGAGGGUGGUCGUGGAAUCAAUAAAGCCCCAUCUUUCCAAAAAAUGAAGUCAGAUCAUUUACUUGAUAGUAUUUUUUCCCCCUUCACAAGCUUAUUACUCGGAAUACCUUCUACCCUCAUAUGAAAUAUUCUCAUUCUCUAUUGAGGGUUUUCAUAAUGUUUCGGGAUGUAGUUGAGGCUCAUGUGCCAUUUAGGCAUGGUACAUUGACUUGUGCAUGGACGACCUUGAAUAUUGUAUUCAAAUAUGAGCAUGUGGUGCUUGUACCUUUGUAUAGAGGGAAAUUAAGUAUUGGGAUUGUUUGGUCUUCAGACCACACAUUGCUAAAGGAGACCAAUUAUAUUUGAGUGAUUCUUUCAUUUUAAUGAUUUUGAGUUUGGAAAGAAAAAGCGUCAUUGAUCUGCAUUUGACCAAAUCACCAAGUUGAACAUGAAUGUCUUUUCCAUAUUCAUAAAUGGACGAAUUAAUUAAUGGUU